This 253-nucleotide unclassified non-coding RNA is filed under the name uncultured Myxococcales bacterium. RNAcentral's name for it is "contains 16S-23S intergenic spacer region". It matches the Rfam family "Bacterial small subunit ribosomal RNA", at positions 524 to 776 of the family's 1533-position model. The record is from RNAcentral. Lineage: Bacteria; Pseudomonadati; Myxococcota; Myxococcia; Myxococcales.
GACAGAGGGUGCAAACGUUGUUCGGAAUUACUGGGCGUAAAGCGCGUGCAGGCGGCAGCGCAAGUCGGAUGUGAAAGCCCACGGCUCAACCGUGGAAGAGCAUUCGAAACUGCGAGGCUAGAGUCCUGGAGAGGAAGGUGGAAUACUUGGUGUAGAGGUGAAAUUCGUAGAUAUCAAGUGGAACACCGGUGGCGAAGGCGACCUUCUGGACAGUGACUGACGCUGAGACGCGAAAGCGUGGGGAGCAAACAGG